ACGGGAGGCAGCAGUGGGGAAUUUUGGACAAUGGGGGCAACCCUGAUCCAGCCAUGCCGCGUGUGUGAAGAAGGCCUUCGGGUUGUAAAGCACUUUCGGACGGAACGAAAUCGCGCGGGUGAAUAUCCCGCGUGGAUGACGGUACCGUAAGAAGAAGCACCGGCUAACUACGUGCCAGCAGCCGCGGUAAUACGUAGGGUGCGAGCGUUAAUCGGAAUUACUGGGCGUAAAGUGUGCGCAGGCGGCCGAGCAAGUCGAGUGUGAAAGCCCCGGGCUUAACUUGGGAAUUGCGCUCGAAACUACUUGGCUGGAGUGUGGCAGAGGGGGGUGGAAUUCCACGUGUAGCGGUGAAAUGCGUAGAGAUGUGGAGGAACACCAAUGGCGAAGGCAGCCCCCUGGGCCAACACUGACGCUCAUGCACGAAAGCGUGGGGAGCAAACAGGAUUAGAUACCCUGGUA
Molecule: ribosomal RNA, 459 nt
Filed under: uncultured beta proteobacterium
Lineage: Bacteria; Pseudomonadati; Pseudomonadota; Betaproteobacteria
Description: bacterial SSU rRNA
Rfam family: Bacterial small subunit ribosomal RNA
Source: RNAcentral